AGCAUAGCGAUUGGGAUAAGUCCCUUGGAAGAGGGCAGCAUGGAGGGUGAUACUCCCGUCUCUGCUCAGAUCUGUUGUGUGUACGAUACGCUUUCUUUGAGUCGAGUUGCUUGGGAAUGCAGCUCAAAGUAGGUGGUAAAUUCCAUCUAAAGCUAAAUGUAGGUGCGAGACCGAUAGCGAACAAGUACCGUGAGGGAAAGAUGAAAAGAACUUUGAAAAGAGAGUUAAAGAGUACCUGAAACUGUUGAAAGGGAAUCGUAUCGUUUCCAGUGUCUUAUCCUUUGCAUAUUUCAUUGGCGGAUGCUAGUACGUGGGUUAUGGGGGAGUCGUUCAUUCGGCACUCUGUUUUCUAUGUUGCUGGUGUUUGCUGGUGCCCUGUGCAUUGGUGUGACGUCAGAGUCAGUUUGUACGCCGUGGGAGAUGGCUGUUGAGGAGGUAUUCCAUUCAUGUAUUUGUUUGGUUGUUAUAUCUCAGCAGUUAGUAGUCAUGGUUGAGACUGAGGUGCC
Molecule: ribosomal RNA, 506 nt
Filed under: uncultured Oomycota
Lineage: Eukaryota; Oomycota
Description: LSU rRNA
Rfam family: Eukaryotic large subunit ribosomal RNA
Source: RNAcentral